Nothobranchius furzeri (turquoise killifish) is the source of this 5360-nucleotide long non-coding RNA. RefSeq lists it as uncharacterized. NCBI's taxonomy places the organism in Eukaryota, Metazoa, Chordata, Actinopteri, Cyprinodontiformes, Nothobranchiidae. The record is from RefSeq and is a predicted model, not a curated record.
AAAGCCGAACAUCACAGAUCGUGUUUUGUGUUUCUGCAGAUCAUCAGAUCUCAUCCCACCUCCCAGAGAGCCAAGAACAGCAGGACUAACUCUAUGUGGACUCCAGCACUCUAAUAAUAAAGAGGGAGUUCACCCAAAAGGGGUAAAAAGGACAAGAUGUUGACGUUCAAACAUUCAAAAGUGGGUUGAGUCCCAACCGACGGGUGGAAACACACUCAGUGUGUUAAUGAGCUGAGUGUGAUUAGCAUGCCGUCAGCGAGCUGCUGUGUGUACUGUACCGACGAAGCUCCGACUCCAUGAUUUAAUAACUCCCUGACGGGUCACAGACACCUUCAGCGGGAACAGCAUCUUCCUGUAACAGGUUUAGUGAAUCCACUUUAGAGAUGCUGUUGAUGUCUUUGGGGACUUUUCCACACAACAUCAUUGAUAAAUCAACCAAUAAGCUCCAAUCUGAUGGAAAACUGGGUGGUGUUGGACUCAGCUGGGUCAAAGCUGGGUCAUUGAGAACUUUCACCCACAGAUUAAGACCUGAACGCCAGCGAGUCUGGGAGGAAACCAUAACAUCUGCCACCUGCGGUACCAGAAGAAGGAGUUCUCAUGGACAAGUAGUCAUAACAAGUCAAAACAUAAAGUUUAAGCUUCCUUUUCUUGUUUUGAAUGUUAAAAGUUUAAUCAUCAAUUUGCUCAUUAUAAAUGUGUUUUAAUCAAAUGAAUGACUAUUAUGCUUUGGGGUAAUUAUAAGAGAUUUAAUGAAUCCAUAAUUAGAUAAUGUUGAGAGUGUUUGUUGCUGACCUUCACACACACUCAAGCACACACACCCACACACAGAUUCUCACAGUUAAACUCCAAAACACAUUUGCUGACGCACACGUUUGCUUUGAGAAGAGAAAGGUUUUUGGUAAGUUUCAGUCUUAUGAUUUCAGUUCGUGCUUGACAACGAAAGAGAGAGGACGUGUGAACAACCGCUGAAAGGGGGGGGAGCCGGUUGGCUCGUUUCUUCCCCCCCUCUCUCACGCUGUUCCUGCCAAACCAGGCAGAAUAGCUGAAUCGCAACUUCUAACGCAGACUCAUUACAGAGUCUUUUGAUUUCUGAGUGAAUUAACUUAAGAAAGCGCAUCGACAAAACGCUUUACCAUCAACGUGUACCGAGGGCAACUCUGGAACGGUUCCGUUCGACACCUACGUCUCUCCUGUCAGCCACCAGUGUCAUCUGGAUGAACCAUAACAUCCUCCACGGCCCGGAUCCGAAAGAGGGUCCACAAGAGUUCGGUGAGACAGAGCACGGUGUUUAGCAUUUGAUGCAGUUCUCUGAUAAGGCCUAAGUUUAUCCAAACCAUCACUUCACUCAGACACCUGUUUCUUCCUGAAGCAAAAUCAGAUGCACACACGCAUUCAUCUCACCUCAUGUUCAAUUCUCACGACACUUUGCACACACACGCAUCCAUAACCACAUCCUAUUACUCUCAAUCUUCAUUCACCAACAGAAGGUCUAUUUGAGCAAGAACAGCAUAUCAACUGUUGAAGAUUGUCCCACAAGUUGCCAAUGUUGAUUGUUAUUUCCUGUUUGUCAAUUUCAAAAUCAUUAGUUUAAUUUGAAGAAUUAAAACCUUUAAUUGUCAAACUGGUUUCCUCAUUGAACUGAAACACAGACACACAGAUAUUAUCGUCAGUUUAUCGAUGAAAACAACCUUUGAGUCUUCUUAACAAUAUAACUGAGUAAAGACAGUUUCUCCUUACAAUAUGGCUGAGCCAGCCAAAAUUUUCUUUACACCACUAAAACAAACUUCAAAAGAAAUGACAUAUAUCUACUUAUGUUGCAUCUAGAUGUGUGGUGAGGUGAGGUCUCCUUGAUUAGGUAAAACCCAAUAAGACUAAUUAGCAACAUGCUCUUCUGAUAUAACACGGCAGCAUAUUUCUAAACAAUGUCUCUUUCUGCCCAACAUGAAGCUGUGAACACAAUAUUGGCCAAAAUCAGUGUCACAGUCUUCUAAUUGAGCACUGUGAACAGAAAUGUAUUGGAUUAAAUACAGCCAAAUCUUUUUUAUAGCUUUCUUUAUUUUGGGUUCAAACACUGUAGUCAGUUAAAACACUGGUGCAUUCUUUGCUCAAUAGAAAAUGUGGGAAAAUGAGGAAAUUAGUUAUUUUUUAAAGGGAAAAGUCAUUCACUCAGUAACUUAAAGAUGUAAUGAGAAAGAACGAUUUUCUCAUAAAUGAGGAGACAAAUUUCAAGAAUCAUGAGAUGACCAAUGAAAGAGGAAGGUCAGCCUCCAAAGGGGAAGAAACAAUUCUGCCACAUCGGAUGUUUUAGGGAAACACCGCAGGACGACACCAACAGCUGACCAUCACAAGAAACAACAUGAGAUGUAUUUCACGUCACGUGCAUGCAGUUUUUCAAAAAGGAUCUGGACGCAUUUGUUAAAAUAACCCGUGGUUCUGUUUGUGACCUCGGGCGGACGGGCAGGCUGCUUAGGGGUUUUAUUUAGGUGAACCAUCAGAGUCCUAAGCUUCAUGGAUGAAAUUAAUUUCUGAUUAGCAUGUGAUAUCUUCAAAGUAGGAAUGUAUAUGGACAUUACUCCUUUGGCCCAACUCUUAUCACAAACCAGUAAAGUUCACUGAACACUGCAUUGAUCCAAAUGCCUUUCGGUCCUCGAUCAAUCACUUGUGAACAACACCUUGAGACACCAUAACUAAAGCUGCCUCGGGCUGACCUUCCAGAUGAAGGCUAUCAACAUGCUAUUCAAAAAUCUUUUAUUGAACGGCUGGCAUCCGAUGACGAGAAAAACAGCAGGUCCCUGAAUGGAGGUCAAAGUGAGGCUGGGUCUGCCAGGUCGUUGUGUGACUGCGUGGCAUGGAGAGAGCCACACCACAGUGCUCCUGUGCAAAGUGCAGACGGUCAUCUGAUGACGGUGUCAUUUCAGCCUUCCUAGACUUAUUCACAAAAUAAACUUCCAAUUCCUGCUUCUUGUUUUCUAAAGCCCGCUUCGUGCACAGCCCUUGCAGCUGUCUGACUGGGAACUGUUACCGUCGUAAUGGCAGCGACUCGAAUUCUGGUUAAUUCACCGAAUCGGUCAAUAGAGGUCCAGCAGACAUUUCUGAUGUCAGCAUAUCACGACCAUUUCAGCAGAUCAGCACCUAAAGGUGUCCAUGGACAUUAAUAAAAUUUACAUUUUAUUCUUUCACGGUAUGCCGUGGUUUAUGGAAUUCUAGGGACGGGGAGCGCAGCUGUUUCACGUAACGGUGCGUUUUUCCCGGGCCACUUUAGGAGACCACAAAGUAGCAUGAAUUAUGGGUUCGGCUGCUCGAUUAUGGCAUCAUAGAUCUGGUCAGCUUGUCUCUGAAAGCAAUUUGUCAACAUUUUCUCAACCCAAAGAAUGGCUAAAGUGGAUCCUUUCUGCCCCGAUGGAACACGCUCAGUUGGAUGCAUGAUGGAUCCCUGGGGCGAGUGGAAGAUCCUGUGUCUGUCGCUGCUGUUCUUGGAGGACGUAGAAGAUAUUUGGACUCCUGAUAUCCAUGUUUCUGCUGUUUGGAGCAGGUGAGAUCCUGGUGUGUUGCAAAUUUCAGAAGCUGUCGGAAGCAACUGGCAAGCUACCGGACCUUACGGAGGGUGUGUGUUUUUGCCAACCGUAAGGAGCAAUGGAAGGUAGCUAAGGGUCAUAAGAUAUAGCACUUGGUUGUUCACUUGGCGCAUUUUUGGAAAAAAAUUGUCUUUAAGGGGUUCUAGAAAGCCAUUAGAAAUAGUGACAAAGUUGCAAAGUGGGCAACACUGUAAUGGGAGGUGCGCUAAAUUUUAAACUCAGAGCAGAGUAAUCUGCGAAAGAGGAGCAAAUAAUCGGGUCUUUAUUAAUGGUUGUUGAAAACGUAGAUCGUAAUUGUUACUAAAAUUCUAUUAAGCGACCAGUUCUAGUUGUGGGGAGAUUUCCACUGCGUUUUAUGGUGUUUGGAGUUAAAAAAUGGCAUUUUUAAAUCAGCGUCAACACUGCUUAUGUUCUUCACCAGCUCUUACAGUUUUACAAAUGCCAGUUAGUUGGCGACAUCUGCAGAUUUAAUUUCCAAAUAUCAACCAAUCAGCAUGAGUUAACAACGAGGUUUGCAUUGGUUGGUCCCUAAAAUGGCUCAGCAAAGGGUCCUGUCGGGUCGGCCCAAUGAAACGGCGAAAUGCACAUGCCAUGAAGGUCCGGUAAAAUGACCUGGAAGGUCCAUAAGUGGAAAAAGACAUUUUGUUCUUUAUGUCUUUGCCACAUGAGCAUCUUUCCAGAACUUUGAUUUUCUGGAGUCUAAUGCAAAGAAAAUCUUCCAAUAACAUUAUCAUUCCCGUGCAAAGAUGAGAAGAAAACAUGAGAUGAUGCAGCAACUCCAACAAGACAAACACACAGCAGUCUUUGUGGCACAGAUUAGACGUUGCUAAAAAUACACAUUUCAUGUCUAAAUAAAGACCAAAGCUCACAGGAAAUGGAUCUGAACCUUUUCCGACUGGAAAUAGACAUCAAACGAUUCACUUUGUUACUUGAAUACUCUGGAAAUUAAUCAGGUCUGAUUAAUAAAAGUCAAAUCCUGCAUUUUGUCAAUGCAAACACACACCUAUUAUUCUUUGGUGACACACACAGCCUACCAGGAAAAACCUGAACCACCCUGGGUAAACAAGGAUGUAGUAGUGCAGUACUACUAGCCCCUGAAUGAUGCUUUCCUUGUUUGAAUAUUAAAAAUUAAUUAUUCAUAAAUUUAAAAGGAAUUAAAGUUUUCUGGAACAAUUCAGCUGAGUGCACAAACAGGAAGAUUGCCAGCUGGUGGAUAACUGGUAUCUCCAUGGAAGAGACAGUAAAGUGAAGCUAUGUUUGCACAGAAAAGGUCAAACACUUAAAAAGCAUUGGUAUUUUUUAUGAUGCCCUGAAAAUAAGUUCACAUGACAGAAACCAAAAGAAAACACAUGGACUUAAGGGCUUAAGACGACAAACACACGUGAGUUUGUUUGUGGGUGCCUCACGGGAGCCUAGAAAUGGAUUUUAACCAGAAUAGCAACAAAAUUCAUCGGAAGACUGAUCUGACCCGCAGAUGUUUCGUGGGAAAUGAAAGUGAGAGAAAUGAAGUCAUCUGGAUUUUUACCUGAAAGUCAGCAAAAAUGUUCCAGAGAAAUUUCCACUUGUGUGAUUUUAAAAUAAAAACAAAGGAAAUGAAAUAUUUCCAGAACAUGAGGUGCUUCUGUUGGAACUUCAUCAGCUAAAUCAUAUAAAAGAUGCAGAAUUUCAUCUGAUCACAUCCAGCUGUACCUGACAGCAACAUGGUGACACACACACACACACACACACACACACACACACACACACACACACACACUUACUCUGCAGCAGCUUGCAGCAGUGGGC